This 441-nucleotide ribosomal RNA is filed under the name uncultured bacterium. RNAcentral describes it as "partial 16S ribosomal RNA". It matches the Rfam family "Bacterial small subunit ribosomal RNA", at positions 338 to 795 of the family's 1533-position model. The record is from RNAcentral.
CCUACGGGUGGCAGCAGUAGGGAAUCUUGCGCAAUGGGCGAAAGCCUGACGCAGCAACGCCGCGUGAUUGAUUAAGCCCUUCGGGGUGUAAAGAUCUGUCAGUGGGGACGAAACUUGACGGUACCCACAGAGGAAGCACCGCCUAACACCGUGCCAGCAGCCGCGGUAAUACGGAGGGUGCAAGCGUUGUCCGGAGUCAUUGGGCGUAAAGAGUGCGUAGGUGGGAUAUUAAGUCUGGUGUUAAAUGCAGAAGCUCAACGUCUGUUCGGCACUUGAUACUGGUAAGCUUGAAUGCGGUAGAGGUAAAGGGAAUUCCGGGUGUAGCGGUGAAAUGCGUAGAUAUCAGGAGGAACAUCAGUGGCGUAGGCGCUUUACUGGACCGUAAUUGACACUGAGGAACGAAAGCCGGGGUAGCAAAUGGGAUUAGAUACCCCUGUAGUC